GAUAAUCCCGUACAUGGCAUGGAGCGCCCGCUGCUUUGUGAUACGCUUUCUAAGAGUCGAGUUGUUUGGGAAUGCAGCUCAAAAUGGGUGGUAAAUGCCAUCUAAGGCUAAAUAUUGGGGAGAGACCGAUAGCGAACAAGUACAGUGAUGGAAAGAUGAAAAGAACUUUGAAAAGAGAGUUAAACAGUACGUGAAAUUGCCAAAAGGGAAGGGUAGGAGGUCAGAGAUGCGGCCUGGGAUUCAGCCUUGCUUUUGCUUGGUGUUUUUCCCAGAUUGCAGGCCAACGUCGGUUUUGGGCACUGGAGAAGGGUAGGAGGAACGUGGCACCUCUCGGGGUGUGUUAUAGCCUCCUACUGGAUACAGCGACCGAGACCGAGGACAGCAGCGUACUCGCAAGAGCGGGCCUUCGGGCACCUUUACGCUUAGGGCGUUGGCAUAAUGGCCCUCUACCACCCGUCUUGAAACAACGGACC
Molecule: ribosomal RNA, 473 nt
Filed under: uncultured Pseudozyma
Lineage: Eukaryota; Fungi; Basidiomycota; Ustilaginomycetes; Ustilaginales; Ustilaginaceae
Description: eukaryotic LSU rRNA
Rfam family: Eukaryotic large subunit ribosomal RNA
Source: RNAcentral